UAUCAAUAAGCGGAGGAAAAGAAACCAACAGGGAUUGCCUCAGUAACGGCGAGUGAAGCGGCAAAAGCUCAAAUUUGAAAUCUGGCGCCCACCAGCGUCCGAGUUGUACUUUGGAGAGGCAUCUUCGUGAGGGGUCCAGCCUAUGUUCCUUGGAACAGGGCGUCACAGAGGGUGAGAAUCCCGUUCGUGGCUGGAUACCCCUUGUAGUAUGUAGUGUCUUCAAUGAGUCGAGUUGUUUGGGAAUGCAGCUCAAAAUGGGUGGUAAAUUUCAUCUAAAGCUAAAUAUUGGCGAGAGACCGAUAGCGCACAAGUAGAGUGAUCGAAAGAUGAAAAGCACUUUGAAAAUAGAGUCAAACAGUACGUGAAAUUGUUGAAAGGGAAGCGCUUGAGAUCAGAGUCAGCCUUUGACAAACAACAUUCCAUCUGGAUAGUGCACUUGUCAUUGGCUGGGCCAGCAUCAGUUGGGACGGUAGGAUAAAGGCCUUGGGAAUGUGACUCCCUUCCGGAGUGUUAUAGCCCCUGGUGUCAUGCUGCCUGCCCUGACUGUGGACCGCGCUUCGGCUUGGAUGCUGGCUUAAUGGUCUUCAGCGGCCCGUCUUGAAACACGGACCAAGGAGUCUAACGUCUAUGCAAGUGUUUGGGCUCAAAACCCUCAUGCGUAAUGAAAGUGAACGGAGGUGGGAACCCUGCAAGGGGUGCACCAUCGACCGAUCCUGAUGUCUUCGGAUGGAUUUGAGUAGGAGCAUAGCUGUUGGGACCCGAAAGAUGGUGAACUAUGCCUGAAUAGGGUGAAGCCAGAGGAAACUCUGGUGGAGGCUCGCAGCGGUUCUGACGUGCAAAUCGAUCGUCAAAUUUGGGUAUAGGGGCGAAAGACUAAUCGAACC
RNAcentral lists this ribosomal RNA (884 nucleotides) under Tuber castellanoi. Its description in RNAcentral is "eukaryotic LSU rRNA". It matches the Rfam family "Eukaryotic large subunit ribosomal RNA", at positions 41 to 941 of the family's 3401-position model. The record is from RNAcentral. Lineage: Eukaryota; Fungi; Ascomycota; Pezizomycetes; Pezizales; Tuberaceae.